UUGCUUUGGCAGCACACAUAUUAAAACUGGAAUGAUAUAAGGAAGAUUAUUUGCAAGACUAUUGUGCAAAGAUGACAUGCAAAUGUAUGAAUUAUUCCAUAUUUUU
Small nuclear RNA from Antechinus flavipes (yellow-footed antechinus), 106 nucleotides. Lineage: Eukaryota; Metazoa; Chordata; Mammalia; Dasyuromorphia; Dasyuridae. The record is from RefSeq and is a predicted model, not a curated record.